Long non-coding RNA from Trachymyrmex septentrionalis, 439 nucleotides. RefSeq lists it as uncharacterized. The record is from RefSeq and is a predicted model, not a curated record. NCBI's taxonomy places the organism in Eukaryota, Metazoa, Arthropoda, Insecta, Hymenoptera, Formicidae. The transcript is spliced from 3 exons.
AGUUCGCUAAACACAUUUGACUAUUCAGAGAGGAAGAUUUGUAAAUCGUUAAUAUGUUUAAAACUGAGAUAAUUGUGUCAAUAAUCUAUUAAUAUUAACUUCUAAAGCUUCAUGAACAUGUUGAACUUCCCGUUUGAGAAUCCACUUCAGUUGGGAACCUAUUAGUGACUCACGUUUGACGGAAGGUUCAAUGAAUUAGGAUUUGAUAUAUGUACCAUAUUGCUGAAGAGGACUCCAAAAAGAGUCGAAAUGUUCAAAAUAAAAAAUUCCUCACAAUCGAUUGUUACGUCCAAGCUCCGGAAAAUGGAUUUUAAGAGAGAAGGGAAUAGAAAGGAUGGAGUGUGGAAGAUCAGACUCUUGUCUCGCAGGUGUUAAAUUUGAAAUAAUAUUGGGACAAUGUCCAGUCCAUGAACCGAUAAGAAGAACACUAUUAGAACCA